RNAcentral lists this ribosomal RNA (427 nucleotides) under uncultured bacterium. RNAcentral's name for it is "bacterial SSU rRNA". It matches the Rfam family "Bacterial small subunit ribosomal RNA", at positions 355 to 774 of the family's 1533-position model. The record is from RNAcentral.
UAAGGAAUAUUGGCCAAUGGACGCAAGCCUGAUCCAGCCAUGCCGCGUGCAGGAUGAAGGCCUUCGGGUUGUAAACUGCUUCUGUACGGAACGAAAAGACUCCUUCUAAUAAAGGGGGUCCAUGACGGUACCGUAAGAAUAAGCACCGGCUAACUACGUGCCAGCAGCCGCGGUAAUACGUAGGGUGCGAGCGUUAAUCGGAAUUACUGGGCGUAAAGCGUGCGCAGGCGGUUAUAUAAGACAGAUGUGAAAUCCCCGGGCUCAACCUGGGAACUGCAUUUGUGACUGUAUAGCUAGAGUACGGCAGAGGGGGAUGGAAUUCCGCGUGUAGCAGUGAAAUGCGUAGAUAUGCGGAGGAACACCGAUGGCGAAGGCAAUCCCCUGGGCCUGUACUGACGCUCAUGCACGAAAGCGUGGGGAGCAAACA